GUUUGUUGUCCUUAUAUGACAAUACAAUUAUGUUAUUUGAACAUCAAAAUACAGACACGACGUUGUAUAUGUUUAUCUUUAUUUCUUUUAGUAUCUUGUAUCAAAAUUUAAUUCACAAUCAAAAUCGUAGUUGAUCUAACUACACAAUCAACCACAAUGUCACAGUUUUGAACGUGAUUUAAAUUAACCAUCUAUUCAAAUUCAAC
This 206-nucleotide long non-coding RNA is filed under the name Trifolium pratense (red clover). RNAcentral's name for it is "long non-coding RNA (TPRA_LNC010721)". The record is from RNAcentral. Lineage: Eukaryota; Viridiplantae; Streptophyta; Magnoliopsida; Fabales; Fabaceae.